This 229-nucleotide long non-coding RNA is filed under the name Ananas comosus (pineapple). Its description in RNAcentral is "long non-coding RNA (ACOM_LNC036603)". The record is from RNAcentral. Lineage: Eukaryota; Viridiplantae; Streptophyta; Magnoliopsida; Poales; Bromeliaceae.
UUGUUGAUCGGGAGGUGCGAAAACUACGGAAUCGUGAAAUUCCGUAUGUUAAAGUUUAUUGGAGUGAACACAAUGAUCGGGAAGAAACGUGGGAACAUGAGGACAUGAUGAGAGAGCGUUAUCCUCAUCUCUUCAAAGAGCUGAAGUGAGGUAUGAGUUUUAGAUUGCAAUUAAGUUAGUUUCGCGGAUGAAACUAAUUUUAUAGGGUGGAGAAUGUAACAUAUUGAAA